This 395-nucleotide long non-coding RNA is filed under the name Mustela putorius furo (domestic ferret). RNAcentral's name for it is "lncRNA (ENSMPUG00000028531.1)". The record is from RNAcentral. Lineage: Eukaryota; Metazoa; Chordata; Mammalia; Carnivora; Mustelidae.
GUUUUAGGUCUUGGCAAUGUCCCCCUCUCAGCAAAGGCAUUACCUAUUUUACCAUUUUAAGCAUAUCUUGUAACUCUUCUGUGGUUUGGUUUCUUCCUCAGGAACAUGGGAAGGUGGGGCAAGAUUAUUUCUGAAGGAACGUCCAUCGCAUGAGAGCAUUUUUAAGGAAAAGAAAUAUUUGAGUUCAUCACUAAAUUCCUGUUUCGAAAAUGAGAUUCUGAGAGAGAGAAAGUACAAGCAGGAUGGGCAGCAGAGGGAGAGGGAAAGGGGGCUGAGCAGGGAGCCCCCACACUCAACCAAUUGAGCCCACCAGGCUCCCCAGAGGACUUCUGAUUUCUGAACGUGAGUUAAUUCUACUUCUCCUUAAGUAAGAGAACACAUUUAAAUGAUUGAUG